RNAcentral lists this ribosomal RNA (253 nucleotides) under uncultured bacterium. RNAcentral's name for it is "partial 16S ribosomal RNA". It matches the Rfam family "Bacterial small subunit ribosomal RNA", at positions 524 to 776 of the family's 1533-position model. The record is from RNAcentral.
AACGUAGGACACAAGCGUUAUCCGGAAUUACUGGGCGUAAAGGGAGUGCAGGCGGUUGCGGAAGUCGGGUGUGAAAGCCCCGGGCUCAACCUGGGAAUUGCAUUCGAGACUGCGUAGCUAGGGUGCGGAAGAGGGAAGCGGAAUUUCCGGUGUAGCGGUGAAAUGCGUAGAUAUCGGAAGGAACAUCAGUGGCGAAAGCGGCUUCCUGGUCCAGCACCGACGUUCAGGCACGAAAGCGUGGGGAGCAAACGGG